This 468-nucleotide ribosomal RNA is filed under the name uncultured bacterium. RNAcentral describes it as "partial 16S ribosomal RNA". It matches the Rfam family "Bacterial small subunit ribosomal RNA", at positions 28 to 507 of the family's 1533-position model. The record is from RNAcentral.
GACGAACGCUGGCGGCGUGCUUAACACAUGCCAGUCGAACGGAAAGGCCCUGCUUUUGUGGGGUGCUCGAGUGGCGAACGGGUGAGUAACACGUGAGUAACCUGCCCUUGACUUUGGGAUAACUUCAGGAAACUGGGGCUAAUACCGGAUAGGAGCUCCUGCUGCAUGGUGGGGGUUGGAAAGUUUCGGCGGUUGGGGAUGGACUCGCGGCUUAUCAGCUUGUUGGUGGGGUAGUGGCUUACGAAGGCUUUGACGGGUAGCCGGCCUGAGAGGGUGACCGGCCACAUUGGGACUGAGAUACGGCCCAGACUCCUACGGGAGGCAGCAGUGGGGAAUAUUGCACAAUGGGCGGAAGCCUGAUGCAGCAACGCCGCGUGCGGGAUGACGGCCUUCGGGUUGUAAACCGCUUUCGCCUGUGACGAAGCGUGAGUGACGGUAAUGGGUAAAGAAGCACCGGCUAACUACGUG